This 247-nucleotide ribosomal RNA is filed under the name Burkholderia cenocepacia. RNAcentral's name for it is "partial 23S ribosomal RNA". It matches the Rfam family "Bacterial large subunit ribosomal RNA", at positions 1 to 244 of the family's 2925-position model. The record is from RNAcentral. Lineage: Bacteria; Pseudomonadati; Pseudomonadota; Betaproteobacteria; Burkholderiales; Burkholderiaceae.
GUUAUAGGGUCAAGCGAACAAGUGCAUGUGGUGGAUGCCUUGGCGAUCACAGGCGAUGAAGGACGCGGUAGCCUGCGAAAAGCUACGGGGAGCUGGCAAACGAGCUUUGAUCCGUAGAUGUCCGAAUGGGGAAACCCGGCCCUUUUGGGUCAUCCUGGACUGAAUACAUAGGUCCAGUGAAGCGAACGCGGUGAACUGAAACAUCUAAGUAACCGCAGGAAAAGAAAUCAACCGAGAUUCCCAAAGU